Caretta caretta (loggerhead turtle) is the source of this 1052-nucleotide long non-coding RNA. RefSeq lists it as uncharacterized. NCBI's taxonomy places the organism in Eukaryota, Metazoa, Chordata, Testudines, Cheloniidae. The record is from RefSeq and is a predicted model, not a curated record.
ACGUUGGUUAUUAUUACUAUCGGCACAGAUGGGCUUUCCCGGAACGCCGUGCGCCGCAGGAGUCCCUCUUUCACCGGCGGUACUCGGGCCUGCUCCCCUCGCUCCUGUCUGGCCAGGCCAAGAACCGCCAGUGAAUUCCUCUCCAGCACCUCCUCCCCGACCUCCUGCUCCCGUCCUUUGUGCUUGAAAAACACCUUCGUAUUCAUCUCUGCUCCCUCCGUAAUCUCUGAGGGGAUCCAGAGACAGCGGCUGGACUGACACCCCAGCAAGACCAAGAGAUUUCCACAGAUUCCCCAGAUUGGGUGCAGCAAGUGUGUGGCUUCCCACCCACACACUGCCCUACAAGGGGGCAUCCGGGAGGACCCCUCUCCACAGCAGGAAGGAGACACAGUGUGGCCCAAUGGGCAGGGCACCAGCCUAGCAAUCAGGAGACCUGGCAUCUAGUCCCAACUCUGCUGCAUGCCCGUAGGCAAAUCACUUCCCUUGUCUUUCUAGAUUGUAGGUUUGUGCAGCGCCUAGCACACUGGGGUGCUGAUCUCAUUUGGGGCCUGGCCGCGCCUCGCAGAUCAAGCGCCACCCGGCAUGAUCUCUAGAUAGAUCCUCAAGAUGGUCUGGCUGCAUGUUCAAUCUCCAUCCCUCAGUGGCGAUCUGACUGCCGCACCAAAGCUCCUGGCGCCUGCGUGAGCACCAGCUGCGUUUGAGUGGGUUACACGGGUGUGUCUGUCCCGGCCAGCCCCUUGUGGGCAGAAUCAGCCUGGCUGUGGCCAGCCCCACAUUGCUAAUGGAGACUCACCACUGCACAGCACCGCCUCGGAAAUUCCCAGCACCAGCGGGGCUGGACCUCAGAGCCAAACACCCAGGUCCCUCUCCCCUGUAUUAAGGGAGCAGCCCCCUCUCUCCCAACAGCAAUGGUAGGGCUGUUACCUGCAGGUAGCCACUCGAGGGUCUCUCCCACACGCUGCCCUUGUACUGUUAUGUUACACAACCAGGACUGAUCCACCCCCCGAGGAGAGACAACGUGAUUGCUUUUAAUAAAACAGACUUGAUUUUCA